GACGAACGCUGGCGGCGUGCUUAACACAUGCAAGUCGAACGGACCGGCCCUGCUUUUGUGGGGUGCUCGAGUGGCGACCGGGUGAGUAACACGUGAGUAACCUGCCCUUGACUUUGGGAUAACUUAAGGACACUGGGGCUCAUCCGGGAUAGGAGCUCCCGCUGCUUGGUGGGGGCUGGAAUGUUUCGGCGGUUGGGGAUGGACUCGCGGCUUCUCAGCUUGUUGGUGGGGUAGUGGCUUACCAAGGCUUUGACGGGUAGCCGGCCUGAGAGGGUGAGCGGCCACAGUGGGACUGAGAUACGGACCAGACUCCUACGGGAGGCAGCAGUGGGGGAGAUUGCACAAGGGGAGGAAGCCUGAUGCAGCAACGGCGCGGGUGGGAUAACGGCCUUCGGGUUGUAAACCGCUUUCGCCUGUGACGAAGCGGGAGUGACGGGAAUGGGUAAAGAAGGACCGGCUAACUACGGU
RNAcentral lists this ribosomal RNA (468 nucleotides) under uncultured bacterium. RNAcentral's name for it is "partial 16S ribosomal RNA". It matches the Rfam family "Bacterial small subunit ribosomal RNA", at positions 28 to 507 of the family's 1533-position model. The record is from RNAcentral.